This 263-nucleotide ribosomal RNA is filed under the name uncultured archaeon. RNAcentral's name for it is "partial 16S ribosomal RNA". It matches the Rfam family "Archaeal small subunit ribosomal RNA", at positions 748 to 1008 of the family's 1478-position model. The record is from RNAcentral.
CAGCCCUAAACGAUGCGCGUUAGGUGUAUCGGUGACCACGAGUCACCGAGGUGCCGAAGGGAAACCGUGAAACGUGCCGCCUGGGAAGUACGGUCGCAAGGCUGAAACUUAAAGGAAUUGGCGGGGGAGGCACCACAAGAGGUGGAGCCUGCGGUUUAAUUUGGACUCAACGCCGGGAAGCUCACCGGAUAAGACAGCGGAAUGAUUGCCGGGCUGAAGACCCUGCAUGGCCAGCUGAGAGGUGGUGCAUGGCGUCAGUGACU